UACGGAGGGUGCGAUCGUUACCCGGAUUUACUGGGUGUAAAGGGCGUGUAGGCGGUCUCUCAAGUCCGAUGCUAAAGACCGAAGCUCAACUUCGGGGGUGCGUUGGAUACUGUGAGGCUAGACGGUCGGAGAGGGUAGCGGAAUUUCCGGAGUAGCGGUGAAAUGCGCAGAUACCGGAAGGAACGCCAAUAGCGAAUGCAGCUACCUGGACGAUUGGUGACGCUGAGGCGCGAAAGCGUGGGGAGAAAACCGG
This 253-nucleotide ribosomal RNA is filed under the name uncultured bacterium. RNAcentral describes it as "partial 16S ribosomal RNA". It matches the Rfam family "Bacterial small subunit ribosomal RNA", at positions 524 to 776 of the family's 1533-position model. The record is from RNAcentral.